This 488-nucleotide ribosomal RNA is filed under the name uncultured bacterium. Its description in RNAcentral is "bacterial SSU rRNA". It matches the Rfam family "Bacterial small subunit ribosomal RNA", at positions 28 to 507 of the family's 1533-position model. The record is from RNAcentral.
GAUGAACGCUGGCGGCGUGCCUAACACAUGCAAGGUCGAACGGGUGUGGUAUCAGGGAAAAGGGGUUUACUCUUUGACCAGAUAACACACUAGUGGCGGACGGGUGAGUAACGCGUGGAUAACCUGCCUUAUACAGGGGGAUAACAGGGAGAAAUUCUUGCUAAUACCCCAUAGGUAUGUCUGACGCAUGUUGGACGUAUUAAAGCUUUGGCGGUAUAAGAUGGGUCCGCGUCUGAUUAGCUAGUUGGUGGGGUAAAGGCCCACCAAGGCGACGAUCAGUAGCCGGCUUGAGAGAGUGGACGGCCACAUUGGGACUGAGACACGGCCCAAACUCCUACGGGAGGCAGCAGUGGGGAAUAUUGCACAAUGGGGGAAACCCUGAUGCAGCGACGCCGCGUGAAGGAAGAAGGUCUUCGGAUCGUAAACUUCUAUCAGCAGGGAAGAAGGAAGUGACAGUACCUGAGUAAGAAGCCCCGGCUAACUACGUG